GAUGAACGCUGGCGGCGUGCCUAAUACAUGCAAGUCGAGCGAACGGACGAGAAGCUUGCUUCUCUGAUGUUAGCGGCGGACGGGUGAGUAACACGUGGAUAGCCUACCUAUAAGACUGGGAUAACUUCGGGAAACCGGAGCUAAUACCGGAUGAUAUUUUGAACCGCAUGGUUCAAAAGUGAAAGACGGUCUUGCUGUCACUUAUAGAUGGAUCCGCGCUGCAUUAGCUAGUUGGUAAGGUAACGGCUUACCAAGGCAACGAUGCAUAGCCGACCUGAGAGGGUGAUCGGCCACACUGGAACUGAGACACGGUCCAGACUCCUACGGGAGGCAGCAGUAGGGAAUCUUCCGCAAUGGUCGAAAGCCUGACGGAGCAACGCCGCGUGAGUGAUGAAGGUCUUCGGAUCGUAAAACUCUGUUAUUAGGGAAGAACAUAUGUGUAAGUAACUGUGCACAUCUUGACGGUACCUAAUCAGAAAGCCACGGCUAACUACGUG
This 497-nucleotide ribosomal RNA is filed under the name uncultured bacterium. RNAcentral's name for it is "partial 16S ribosomal RNA". It matches the Rfam family "Bacterial small subunit ribosomal RNA", at positions 28 to 507 of the family's 1533-position model. The record is from RNAcentral.